UACGUAGGGUGCAAGCGUUGUCCGGAAUUAUUGGGCGUAAAGAGCUCGUAGGCGGUUUGUCGCGUCGAAUGUGAAAACCCGGGGCUCAACCCCGGGCCUGCAUUCGAUACGGGCAGACUAGAGUUCGGUAGGGGAGUCUGGAAUUCCAGGUGUAGCGGUGAAAUGCGUAGAUAUCUGGAGGAAUACCGGUGGCGAAGGCGGCAUCCUGGACCGACAUUGACGCUGAACGGCGAAAGCUAGGGGAGCAAACGGG
RNAcentral lists this ribosomal RNA (253 nucleotides) under uncultured bacterium. RNAcentral describes it as "partial 16S ribosomal RNA". It matches the Rfam family "Bacterial small subunit ribosomal RNA", at positions 524 to 776 of the family's 1533-position model. The record is from RNAcentral.